CUGCCGGGUUUCCUCUCGCUUAGCCAAUCAAAGACAGCCCCGGCUGGCGGUUUCCUUCUUGAAUUCUCGGCCGGGUGCAGGCCGCAGACGCCGGGCUCGCGAUGCUGCCGGAGUGCGGGCUGUGGCCGGGGCUGAUGGAGCUGGGGCCGAGCGGCCUGGGGGACUUGGCGUCCGUCUUGUUACUCGGGCUCCCGCAGGGCCGUCCCCUGUGGGUCCCUCGUGCCUGAGGUCCCAAGGGCAACGCCGACGAAACGCCUGGCCGCAGGCGCCUGUAGCCAGCUGUUUUUCUUUUCUUUUCUUUUUUUUUUUUUUGAGGCGGAGUUUCGCUCUUGUUACCCAGGCUGGAGCGCAAUGGCGCGAUCUCGGCUCACCGCAACCUCCGCCUCCUGGGUUCAGGCAAUUCUCCUGCCUCAGCCUCCUGAGUAGCUGGGAUUACAGGCACGCGCCACCAUGCCCAGCUAAUUUUUUGUAUUUUUAGUAGAGACGGGGUUUCACCAUGUUGACCAGGAUGGUCUCGAUCUCUUGACCUCGUGAUCCACCCGCCUCGGCCUCCCAAAGUGCUGGGAUUACAGGCGUGAGCCACCGCGCCCGGCCCAGCCAGCUGUUUUUCGUUGGCCGCGUUUUCACCGAUUUCCAGCUGCUGGAGCCUGAUGUGGAGGAAAGGCCCAAGACCACAUACUGUUUCCUGGACAGGAGAAGCGCGUGCCGCCUCCGCCCUCUCCUCGCAGGGCGGGCAGCGCUGGCAACCGGGUGGUGCCUCACUUCAGCCGCUUCGCGUGCUCAGCCUUUCACACACCACCCGUCUCCCUGCUCCUUUCCAAAAUAAAAAUGAAAUUAGGUUCGAUUAACGAGGAAAUGACGUCCCAAUUAAACCACCUUGUGUUUCACCUGGAACGCACGACGUCCGACCUGCGCUGUGGAGUCUUUGUUUUAUCCGGGAGUUCGGGACUAACGGAAGUGUUACUCCUCAAGUACGUGGCUGCGGACUCCAGUCCUUUAAACGUUUGAGUUGCAGGAGGCAAACACAGCAGGUCCCCAGUGAAACCUAACCUUCAAGCUGAAGCCAGUUUAAAGCCUAGCUACAAGUCCCAGGUAAAUCCAUGGACUGGAUCGAGAACCUGUCUUCCUGCUUGGCAUGCUUCCCUGUGAUUGAUUGCCAUCCUUCACCUAUGUUACAUAUACCUACCCUUCCCUAAUUGGUUUUUAACCCUGUUGUGCCCACUUUUGAGUGAUGCCUUUGUUUUAGACAUUUUUGCAUAUUCACAAACCAGCGCGCACUUCCCAUUUGGAGCCCAUAAAAGCCCUGAACCCAGCCACAUGGAAAGAGAAACCACCUGACUUCAGGUGUUGGACCACCCUCACGUCCAUGCUCCACUGCCUUCUCACUCAAUAAAAUUCUUCACCAUCCUCCUCACCCUUCAAUUGUCAAUGUAUCCUCAUUCUUCUUGGACAUGGGACAAGAGCUCGGAACCCGUUAAAUGUGAGUACAGAGAAGGCUGUAACACCAUGAUCCUUUGCCCUUCACCAGUGGAGAGCAGCCACCCCACGUGAUGGAAGCAGUGGCAGGGCUGAGCAAGCCUUGGAGCCAUGUGCCAAUGAAGAGCAAGGGGCUGGCAGAGCUGUUGACACACCAUUGUCCAUCACGCUAUGGACUAAAAGAGCUAAUUAGCACGCUGUAAUACCUCCUUUGGGGCUUCAGGAUCACGAGCACCUCUACCUGGGCAUCACCAUGUUUCCCUCGUCUGAACACCAGAGUCCACCAUGGGAGUGGCUUGCAACAUGCCUGGUCCAGCCACAAGCCCCACAUGGAACCUGGUUCUACGCUGGCACUUGGAACAGUUGGCUGGACCCGGCACUCUCUUGCUCACACGCCCCCUCCCACUGGGGGCUGAGCAUGCAGUCACAGCAGCCGCGGGAUCCACACUGGAUUGUCCUAGUGGGCCGAGUGGAUGGGGCAUCUCCUGUGGCAAACCUAGGCCUGAACAAGGCCUGGGCAAGGGUGUCACCAGCCUGGCAGCUCUGGCUGACAGGUGACCAAGAAAAGUCUGCGUCACCAUCGUGGUCUGAACUAGUUUUUCAGGUUCUUUGAAAUCCCCUUGGCUGAGGGUGGGGGUGGUGGGUCCCAUUCAGCUGGUUGUGGGAGCUUAGACUUUUCUUUUCAUUUACAUACUUGAAGUUGUCCAAUUGUCAGACUCUCUGACACCAACUGGGUAUCCUACCCCACUUACACUCUCACCCACAGGCUGAGGGCUGCGUUCCACAAGACUGUCCCCUCUCCAGGUGACGGCCACAUGUGGGGUGCCCAGGCCACCCACACAGCAGGUGAUACUUUGGGGCUCCCAUGAACCCUUCCUCGGGUUCAGUAAUUUUUUAGAACAACUCACAGAGCUCAGGAAAACACUUAUGCUUCCCAGCUUAUUAUGAAGGACACAGCUCAGGAACAGCCAAUGGGAGCACAUUGUGCACGAUGGGGUGAGGAGCUCCCAAGCCCUCUCCAUGUGGCAACUGCCCAGAACCUCAGGGCAUCCACCAAUCUGGAGGCUCUCCCAAAUCUCAUUAUUCACAGAUUUUUAUAUCUCAAUCCUCAGCCCCCUCUCCUCCCCAGAGGUGGAGGUGGAGUGGGAGAGGGGCUGAGAAUUCCUGCCAUCUAAUCUCCGGGUCUUUCUGAUGAUGUCCACCCGGAGUCACCUUGUUAGCAUAAACUCAGGUGUGGUGGAAGGGGGCUCCUUACAAGUAACAGAAGACACUGCCACACUCAGGAAAUCCCAAGGGUUUCAGACACUCAGUGACCAGAACCAGGGGCCGUGACCAAAUAUACUUCUUCUUGUGGCGUAGUGUUCAACAGCUGUCACGUUCUGUGUCUCUUGGUUUAAACUUCCAAAAUCUUAGGCUCUAAAGUCUAGCUCAGCAUGGGUCGGCUGCACAUCUGGACUAAUCAGAUAUGCCAGUGAUGAGCUGUGGGGCACGCCUGGAACAUGUGGUUUCCUCGUGUGGAUGGACCAGGAGCGCCCAGGGAAGAAGAGCCCAGCAGAUGGAUGGUGCCGGGUGUCUCCUGCAUGGUCACCGUGUGGGAGGGCCUGACCUCUGGCUCAGGGACACACUGUCAUAGCCAACUCACACCACAUGCUGCAGGGGCUCUGUCCACAUCCCAGGGCCCUUCUUAUCUCCACUGAUGGGCCACAGGGCUCUGCUACUUAAAGGUAACCCCCUCAAGGUCAAGGGGGUGACUCUGCCCAAGUGGCAGGACACAGCACUUCCUCUCGCCUGGCCAGAUCGGUUUUCUGAGCUGGAGUUGUCCUUGUCGUUAUUUUGAUCCACACGUCUCUUAGGAGGUAGUUAACACUUGCCAAUCCUGCUGAAAAACUUAAUUCUUGAAUGAAUGAAACGUACCUCACAUCAGGUGAGAAUAUUUUACACAUAGUUGACUGUUUUGUUGAUUUCUUUUUUGAGAGAGUCUUGCCCUGUCACCCAGGCUGUAGUACGGCAUCAUUAUUGCAGCUCACUGCAGCCUCAACCUCCCGGGCUCAACUGAUCCUCCCAUUUCAGCCUCCUGAGUAGCUGGGACUGCAGUCAUAUGCCACCAUGCCCAGCUAAUUUUUAAAGUGUUUUGCAGA
This is a long non-coding RNA of Callithrix jacchus (white-tufted-ear marmoset), 3614 nucleotides long. RefSeq lists it as uncharacterized. Lineage: Eukaryota; Metazoa; Chordata; Mammalia; Primates; Cebidae. The record is from RefSeq and is a predicted model, not a curated record.